GACGAACGCUGGCGGCGUGCUUAACACAUGCAAGUCGAGCGGUAAGGCCCUUCGGGGUACACGAGCGGCGAACGGGUGAGUAACACGUGGGUGACCUGCCCUUCACUCUGGGAUAAGCCUGGGAAACUGGGUCUAAUACCGGAUAUGACUCAUGAUCGCAUGGUUGUGGGUGGAAAGAUUUAUUGGUGGGGGAUGGGCCCGCGGCCUAUCAGCUUGUUGGUGGGGUGAUGGCCUACCAAGGCGACGACGGGUAGCCGGCCUGAGAGGGCGACCGGCCACACUGGGACUGAGACACGGCCCAGACUCCUACGGGAGGCAGCAGUGGGGAAUAUUGCGCAAUGGGCGGAAGCCUGACGCAGCGACGCCGCGUGGGGGAUGACGGCCUUCGGGUUGUAAACCUCUUUCGGCCCCGACGAAGCGAAUAGUGACGGUAGGGGUAGAAGAAGCACCGGCCAACUACGUGCCAGCAGCCGCCGAGUAAAC
Molecule: ribosomal RNA, 483 nt
Filed under: uncultured bacterium
Lineage: Bacteria
Description: bacterial SSU rRNA
Rfam family: Bacterial small subunit ribosomal RNA
Source: RNAcentral